Molecule: ribosomal RNA, 948 nt
Filed under: Bacillus aerius
Lineage: Bacteria; Bacillati; Bacillota; Bacilli; Caryophanales; Bacillaceae
Description: bacterial SSU rRNA
Rfam family: Bacterial small subunit ribosomal RNA
Source: RNAcentral
GGCGGACGGGUGAGUAACACGUGGGUAACUGCCCGUAAGACUGNGAUAACUCCGGAAACCGGAGCUAAUACCGGAUAGUUCCUGGAACCGCAUGGUUCAAGGAUGAANGACGGUUUCGGCUGUCACUACAGAUGGACNCGCGGCGCUUAGCUAGUUGGUGAGGUAACGGCUCACCACGGCGACGAUGCGUAGCCGACUUGAGAGGGUGAUCGGCCACACUGGGAUUGAGACACGGCCCAGACUCUACGGGAGGCAGCAGUAGGGAAUCUUCCGCAAUGGACGAAAGUCUGACGGAGCAACGCCGCGUGAGUGAUGAAGGUNUUCGGAUCGUAAAGCUCUGUUGUUAGGGAAGAACAAGUGCAAGAGUAACUGCUUGCACCUUGACGGUACCUAACCAGAAAGCCACGGCUAACUACGUGCCAGCAGCCGCGGUAAUACGUAGGUGGCAGCGUUGUCCGGAAUUAUUGGGCGUAAAGGGCUCGCAGGCGGUUUCUUAAGUCUGAUGUGAAAGCCCCCGGCUCAACCGGGGAGGGUCAUUGGAAACUGGGAAACUUGAGUGCAGAAGAGGAGAGUGGAAUUCCACGUGUAGCGGUGAAAUGCGUAGAGAUGUGGAGGAACACCAGUGGCGAAGGCGACUCUCUGGUCUGUAACUGACGCUGAGGAGCGAAAGCGUGGGGAGCGAACAGGAUUAGAUACCCUGGUAGUCCACGCCGUAAACGAUGAGUGCUAAGUGUUAGGGGGUUUCCGCCCCUUAGUGCUGCAGCUAACGCAUUAAGCACUCCGCCUGGGGAGUACGGUCGCAAGACUGAAACUCAAAGGAAUUGACGGGGGCCCGCACAAGCGGUGGAGCAUGUGGUUUAAUUCGAAGCAACGCGAAGAACCUUACCAGGUCUUGACAUCCUCUGACAACCCUAGAGAUAGGGCUUUCCCUUCGGGGACAGAGUGACA